CCUACGGGAGGCAGCAGUGGGGAAUAUUGGACAAUGGGCGAAAGCCUGAUCCAGCAAUGCCGCGUGAGUGAUGAAGGCCUUAGGGUUGUAAAGCUCUUUUACCAGGGAUGAUAAUGACAGUACCUGGAGAAUAAGCUCCGGCUAACUCCGUGCCAGCAGCCGCGGUAAUACGGAGGGAGCUAGCGUUGUUCGGAAUUACUGGGCGUAAAGCGUACGUAGGCGGUUAUUCAAGUCAGAGGUGAAAGCCUGGAGCUCAACUCCAGAACUGCCUUUGAAACUAGAUAGCUAGAAUCUUGGAGAGGUGAGUGGAAUUCCGAGUGUAGAGGUGAAAUUCGUAGAUAUUCGGAAGAACACCAGUGGCGAAGGCGACUCACUGGACAAGUAUUGACGCUGAGGUACGAAAGCGUGGGGAGCAAACAGGAUUAGAUACCCUGGUAGUCCACGCCGUAAACGAUGAUAACUAGCUGUUCGGGCUCUACGAGCUUGAGUGGCGCAGCUACGACAUUAAGUUAUUCCGUCCGUCGGGAGGUACGGUCGCGAGAAUAAACUAACAAAGAAGUUAGUACGGCGUGAGACGUGCCGACGGACGACGACGAGGGAGGUUAGG
RNAcentral lists this ribosomal RNA (607 nucleotides) under uncultured bacterium. RNAcentral describes it as "bacterial SSU rRNA". The stretch from base 1 to 519 matches the Rfam family "Bacterial small subunit ribosomal RNA", at positions 338 to 873 of the family's 1533-position model. The record is from RNAcentral.